CUGGGAGCAGGGUGCUGGGCAGCCCUGCUCAGGUGCUGGCUGGGGAGCUGCCGAGCAGGAGCCGGCGGUGCCAGCUGCAGGCAGCGCGGCCGUGCCUGCCAGCCCAGAUUGUUUCAGUCCAGCGACCUCACAAGUGGCUUUGCUAAAGCUGCAAGUUGAUCUCAUGGAAGGAAAUUGAAUUGUCGUCGGGGCUGGGUUUUAUCUGGGCUUUGGGCUCCGCUGCCUGGCUCGGCCUAUUAACGUUUGCUCGUCUGAUUACAGACACAGCUCGGGGGGCUGGAGGAGGCCAGCGUGGGGCAGUGCACCCUUGGGGGCACUGAGGGAAAUAGGUGCAACAGCUGCUGGUGGCCUCGUCCCUCGUCCUUCUGCCUCGUGCCGCUUGGAGCAGCAGCUCCUCACCACGGCAAGGACAUGAAGAGCUUUGGGUCGCGAGGUGCAACAAACCCCCAGGACCAU
RNAcentral lists this long non-coding RNA (456 nucleotides) under Anser brachyrhynchus (Pink-footed goose). RNAcentral describes it as "lncRNA (ENSABRG00000001651.1)". The record is from RNAcentral. Lineage: Eukaryota; Metazoa; Chordata; Aves; Anseriformes; Anatidae.